UGAAUUUUUUAUGAAUUUCCCAAGUUGAAGGUAACAAGCUGAAAUAUCUGUCUUGCGGAUCAAAAAUUUAAGGCGAUUUCAUUUCGGUGGUAAUUGGGAUUUUCAUUCCAAUUGAGGUACAUGACUCAGGAUUUGAAGAUUCCAUUGCUCCUUGGAUGGCUUACAGUUUCUAAGUUUCUAUUUUAUGCAAGUGUUAGCAUAAGAUGCCUCUUUGUAGCCCUUUUUGUUUAAACUUGUAUUCGUUGAUUCGUAUAUGUAAAGUGUACGUAAGUGCACUCUUUUCAAUAUAUUUAACAUGUAUGAGAUGAGGCCGGAGGCCAAUGACAUGUAUCUCAUUUUCUA
Molecule: long non-coding RNA, 342 nt
Organism: Cornus florida
Lineage: Eukaryota; Viridiplantae; Streptophyta; Magnoliopsida; Cornales; Cornaceae
Exons: 2
Source: RefSeq, a predicted model, not a curated record